Molecule: ribosomal RNA, 500 nt
Filed under: uncultured bacterium
Lineage: Bacteria
Description: bacterial SSU rRNA
Rfam family: Bacterial small subunit ribosomal RNA
Source: RNAcentral
CGGCGUGCUUAACACAUGCAAGUCGAACGCGAAAGGGACUUACGGUCCUGAGUAAAGUGGCGCACGGGUGAGUAACGCGUAGAUAACCUGUCUUCAUGUCUGGAAUAAUACGCCGAAAGGGGUACUAAUACCGGAUAUUCUUGCUUUUCAUAAGUUAUGCAAGCAAAGGUGGCCUCUGCAUAUGCUACUGCAUGAAGAGGGGUCUGCGUACCAUUAGCUAGUAGGUGGGGUAAUGGCCUACCUAGGCGACGAUGGUUAGCGGGUCUGAGAGGAUGAUCCGCCACACUGGCACUGGAACACGGGCCAGACUCCUACGGGAGGCAGCAGUGAGGAAUAUUGCGCAAUGGGGGAAACCCUGACGCAGCGACGCCGCGUGAGUGAAGGAAGGCCUUCGGGUCGUAAAGCUCUGUCAAGAGGAAAGAAGUGUACAAUGGCUAAUACCUGUUGUAUUUGACGGUACCUCUAAAGGAAGCACCGGCUAACUCCGUGCCAGCAGCCGC